RNAcentral lists this ribosomal RNA (557 nucleotides) under Penicillium commune. RNAcentral's name for it is "eukaryotic LSU rRNA". The stretch from base 194 to 346 matches the Rfam family "5.8S ribosomal RNA". Lineage: Eukaryota; Fungi; Ascomycota; Eurotiomycetes; Eurotiales; Aspergillaceae. The record is from RNAcentral.
CUGCGGAAGGAUCAUUACCGAGUGAGGGCCCUCUGGGUCCAACCUCCCACCCGUGUUUAUUUUACCUUGUUGCUUCGGCGGGCCCGCCUUAACUGGCCGCCGGGGGGCUCACGCCCCCGGGCCCGCGCCCGCCGAAGACACCCUCGAACUCUGUCUGAAGAUUGAAGUCUGAGUGAAAAUAUAAAUUAUUUAAAACUUUCAACAACGGAUCUCUUGGUUCCGGCAUCGAUGAAGAACGCAGCGAAAUGCGAUACGUAAUGUGAAUUGCAAAUUCAGUGAAUCAUCGAGUCUUUGAACGCACAUUGCGCCCCCUGGUAUUCCGGGGGGCAUGCCUGUCCGAGCGUCAUUGCUGCCCUCAAGCCCGGCUUGUGUGUUGGGCCCCGUCCUCCGAUCUCCGGGGGACGGGCCCGAAAGGCAGCGGCGGCACCGCGUCCGGUCCUCGAGCGUAUGGGGCUUUGUCACCCGCUCUGUAGGCCCGGCCGGCGCUUGCCGAUCAACCCAAAUUUUUAUCCAGGUUGACCUCGGAUCAGGUAGGGAUACCCGCUGAACUUAAGCAU